AGCAGCCGCGGUAAUUCCAGCUCCAAUAGCGUAUAUUAAAGUUGUUGCAGUUAAAAAGCUCGUAGUUGAAUUUCGGGGUUAGUAGAUUGGUCGUGCCAUUGGUACGUACUGGUCUUACUGAUUCCUCCUUCCUGAUGAACCGUAAUGCCAUUAAUUUGGUGUUGCGGGGAAACUGGACUGUUACUUUGAAAAAAUUAGAGUGUUUAAAGCAGGCUAACGCUUGAAUACAUUAGCAUGGAAUAAUGAAAUAGGACGUUCGAUCCUAUUUUGUUGGUUUCUAGGAUUGACGUAAUGAUUAAUAGGGAUAGUUGGG
This 313-nucleotide ribosomal RNA is filed under the name uncultured Glomus. RNAcentral describes it as "SSU rRNA". It matches the Rfam family "Eukaryotic small subunit ribosomal RNA", at positions 569 to 886 of the family's 1831-position model. The record is from RNAcentral. Lineage: Eukaryota; Fungi; Glomeromycota; Glomeromycetes; Glomerales; Glomeraceae.